UACGUAGGGUGCGAGCGUUGUCCGGAAUUAUUGGGCGUAAAGAGCUCGUAGGCGGUGUGUCGCGUCGGUCGUGAAAACUUGGGGCUUAACUCUGAGCUUGCGGUCGAUACGGGCAUCACUUGAGUUCGGCAGGGGAGACUGGAAUUCCUGGUGUAGCGGUGAAAUGCGCAGAUAUCAGGAGGAACACCGGUGGCGAAGGCGGGUCUCUGGGCCGGUACUGACGCUGAGACGCGAAAGCGUGGGGAGCGAACAGG
This 254-nucleotide ribosomal RNA is filed under the name uncultured bacterium. RNAcentral describes it as "partial 16S ribosomal RNA". It matches the Rfam family "Bacterial small subunit ribosomal RNA", at positions 524 to 776 of the family's 1533-position model. The record is from RNAcentral.